This is a long non-coding RNA of Solanum tuberosum (potato), 195 nucleotides long. RefSeq lists it as uncharacterized. NCBI's taxonomy places the organism in Eukaryota, Viridiplantae, Streptophyta, Magnoliopsida, Solanales, Solanaceae. The transcript is spliced from 3 exons. The record is from RefSeq and is a predicted model, not a curated record.
GCUUUGGGUUAUCAACAUGAUCAAUGAUGUUAGCCACCUUGACCGCUGUUGAUUCAGCUAACAAGAUUGUGUUCUCAGGUUCCAUGGGUUUAAAGUGUUGCUACUUUUUGUUGGAUCUUGGCUAAUCGAAGAGAACCUUCUCAUUUUGGUGGUUUGUGACAAGGUGCAUGGGAAGCUCUACACCACCACCCUUCG